GGUAACAUGGCCGAGUGGUCUAAGGCGCUGGAAUUAGGAGGUCCAAAAUAUUGGACAUUACGUAAUCCAGUCCUCCGGGGCGUGAGUUCGAACCUCACUGUUAUCA
Non-coding RNA from Desarmillaria tabescens, 106 nucleotides. Lineage: Eukaryota; Fungi; Basidiomycota; Agaricomycetes; Agaricales; Physalacriaceae. The record is from the annotation of a RefSeq genome assembly.